UACAGAGGUCUCAAGCGUUGUUCGGAUUCAUUGGGCGUAAAGGGUGCGUAGGCGGCGCGGUAAGUCGGGUGUGAAAUCUCGGAGCUUAACUCCGAAACUGCAUUCGAUACUGCCGUGCUUGAGGACUGGAGAGGAGACUGGAAUUUACGGUGUAGCGGUGAAAUGCGUAGAUAUCGUGAGGAACACCAGAGGCGAAGGCGGCUACCUGGACAAUUGCUGACGCUCAGGCACGAAAGCGUGGGGAGCAAAAGGG
This 253-nucleotide ribosomal RNA is filed under the name uncultured bacterium. Its description in RNAcentral is "partial 16S ribosomal RNA". It matches the Rfam family "Bacterial small subunit ribosomal RNA", at positions 524 to 776 of the family's 1533-position model. The record is from RNAcentral.